UAAGCGGAAUAUAAACAUCCGAAUCACCAUCCAGCUGCAUCAUCAUCAACAAUCACAACUUAUCGGACCACCCGGAGACCAAGAAUAAACAAUCAACCGUUCACAAGAAUCGAUAUCAGCAUCGCGCUGAUGCCAUGAAUAAACAUUCCCACAUUCAAGAUGUUGUAAACACAAAUCAUUGAUAUAUAUAAGCAGGGACAAUGAAUGUAAGGUUAGAGUUAAAUUUGAAUAGUGAAUAGAUGCACAUCGUGUGCUCGAAAAGAAGAAAUUGUUUUUUUUAAGUAAAGUUUAGUGUUUAAGAUUAACUGGCGCCCGAAUAGGGACCUUGCCAAGUGAAAGUAGUGCCAAGGAAGUGAGACAAGUGAAGUGAUAGGGUGAACGAUAGAGUUACCACCCACACUAUCCGAAAAAAAUAUCCGAACGCACGAAGCCUCUCUGGACCGCAGGACCUCUGCAGCCGUGUGGAAGAGCCCCUCAGUAGCCACAACAGUUAGGAGCUCGCUUGUGGACCGAACAGGAAUUUGCCGCCACACUGGGAAGGAAGGAAGACACUUCAAGGAUCCCGACCAACCAGUCUCGCUGAACCCGCCAGCGGUUGGAUAAAUCAAAAGGUGAUAAUAGGACAUCGAGACAAAAGUACUGGACACGCGCACCGAAGCUUUUCGAGACGUCACUGAAAGAGGAUUGACAUCCGAAAGUACGUUGUUCCGCAGUCUUGUGGUGUUCCCACAAGAUGUUCAGGAUUUACAUACGUAAACAAAAGGCCAACAUAACAGUCCACUUCGACAAAAACGCUGAGACCAUCCUAAUAAAUGAGCCACCAAAAACAACGGAAAUUAAACCUGACACCAACAACACAGAGGAAUUAUCAGACGAAAGAAAAAAACAACUUCAAGCAUUCUUUGAUGCACCAACACCA
This is a long non-coding RNA of Toxorhynchites rutilus septentrionalis, 919 nucleotides long. RefSeq lists it as uncharacterized. The record is from RefSeq and is a predicted model, not a curated record. Lineage: Eukaryota; Metazoa; Arthropoda; Insecta; Diptera; Culicidae. The transcript has 2 exons.